Molecule: ribosomal RNA, 587 nt
Filed under: Acinetobacter sp.
Lineage: Bacteria; Pseudomonadati; Pseudomonadota; Gammaproteobacteria; Moraxellales; Moraxellaceae
Description: bacterial SSU rRNA
Rfam family: Bacterial small subunit ribosomal RNA
Source: RNAcentral
GAUGUGAAAUCCCCGAGCUUAACUUGGGAAUUGCAUUCGAUACUGGGAAGCUAGAGUAUGGGAGAGGAUGGUAGAAUUCCAGGUGUAGCGGUGAAAUGCGUAGAUAUCUGGAGGAAUACCGAUGGCGAAGGCAGCCAUCUGGCCUAAUACUGACGCUGAGGUACGAAAGCAUGGGGAGCAAACAGGAUUAAAUACCCUGGUAGUCCAUGCCGUAAACGAUGUCUACUAGCCGUUGGGGCCUUUGAGGUUUUAGUGGCGCAGCUAACGCGAUAAAUAGACCGCCUGGGGAGUACGGUCGCAAGACUAAAACUCAAAUGAAUUGACGGGGGCCCGCACAAGCGGUGGAGCAUGUGGUUUAAUUCGAUGCAACGCGAAGAACCUUACCUGGUCUUGACAUAGUAAGAACUUUCCAGAGAUGGAUUGGUGCCUUCGGGAACUUACAUACAGGUGCUGCAUGGCUGUCGUCAGCUCGUGUCGUGAGAUGUUGGGUUAAGUCCCGCAACGAGCGCAACCCUUUUCCUUAUUUGCCAGCACUUCGGGUGGGAACUUUAAGGAUACUGCCAGUGACAAACUGGAGGAAGGCGGGG